Molecule: unclassified non-coding RNA, 2096 nt
Filed under: Hevea brasiliensis (rubber tree)
Lineage: Eukaryota; Viridiplantae; Streptophyta; Magnoliopsida; Malpighiales; Euphorbiaceae
Source: RNAcentral
AAAAAUCAUGGUUUCCAAACCUUAGCUUAGACAUGUCCCUCUUUCCAUCCACUUUCUUUCCAUUAGUGUUAGUUUUAGCAUUUUCCAACUUCUGUACCUCAUCUGCUAUUCGCUACAAAAUCUCAAAUAGAAACCUUACUGAAUCUUCCUGUCCAUUGAACUUCGAUGUUCUUCUACAACUCGCCGCUGAAGCUCAAAUAAGGCCUGCUCUUAUCGAUGUGCCUACUCAAUGUCUGUACAUUCAGAAGGGAACUCUUUUCGUUCGAUCAGAAUACCUUCGAACCAAUGGGUACUUUGUUCCCCCUCCUGACACUUAUCAGGCAUGCUGGGAAUCAUAUAGGAGCUUAGUUGGAGAUUUCUUACACGGUUUUGAUAUCCAAUCCACUUGUGGGUAUCAUCCUGAAUGGAUUUCAGACACUUAUAUCAACAUUACAACUCAGGAACAGUUUGAGAGCCUAUUUCCCAGGUCCGAAUUGCAGGAACUGAGGCUUUCUUGUAAUCAGUCUUUGGAAAAUGGCUUUGUUUGUCAAUCUUGUAUCCACAAGUUGUCGAGUAUUCAGAAACUGUCCCUCCAGGGUCCUGAAACUGAGAAUGCUUCAAUUUCUUCUGAUUACUUUUUUAUGUACGCGGCUGCUUUUAGCAAUAAACUUGGACCGAGCGAUCAAGCAACAGCGAAAUGCUUGUUCAGGCUUGAAUUUUCUAUGCAGUUGAACUCCAAUGAGAAGCGCCUGUCUUUAAUUUCUGGUGUUGUUUUAGGUUGCAUUAUUGGGGUCUUGGGGGCUUCAAUUGCAGCGUGGUUGUUCUGGAUGCUGCACAAGAAAUGUGGAAAGGAAAGGGAAAAGAACAAUUCUGGUAAUAAAGAUGAGACUAGUUUGGACCUUGGAUUAGGACUGCAAACUAGAAGUACCAAUUUAGUCAAGUUUAAAAUCGGUGAAAUCAGGACUGCUACAACGAAUUUCUCAAGACAUAAUAUUAUUGGGAAGGGAAGUUAUGGGAAUGUUUACAAGGGGAUGUUAGCUGAUGGAUCUGAACUUGCAUUCAAGAGAUUCAAGAACUGUUCUGCUUCUGGUGAUGCAAUCUUUGCACAUGAAGUGGAAAUCAUCGCAAGUGUUAAGCAUGUCAAUCUUGUUGCUUUAAGAGGCUACUGUACUGCAACAUUUCCUAUGGAAGGUCACCAACGAAUUAUUGUCUGUGAUCUAAUGCAUAAUGGAAGCCUCUAUGACCAUCUGUUCGGAUCAGGAAUGAAGAAGCUAAGCUGGCCAAUUCGUCAGAAUAUUGCCCUGGGAACAGCUCGCGGAUUGGCUUAUCUACACUAUGGGGUGCAACCUGCAAUCAUACAUAGAGAUAUAAAGGCUAGUAAUAUACUUCUGGAUGAGACAUUUGAGGCAAAGGUAGCAGAUUUUGGCCUCGCAAGGUUCAAUUCACAAGGAAUGUCACAUUUGAGCACCAGGGUAGCAGGGUCUCUUGGCUAUGUUGCUCCGGAAUAUGCCUUAUACGGCAAGUUAACCGAAAGAAGCGAUGUUUACAGCUUCGGCGUUGUGCUUCUUGAGCUCCUGAGCGGAAGAAAAGCAUAUGAAAACGACGAAGAAAAAGUUUCUCUAUUGACAGAUUGGGCAUGGACGCUUGUGAAGGAAGGCAGAGCAUUGGAUGUCAUCGAAGAAAACAUGCCUGAAAUGGGAUCCCCGGAAGUGAUGGAGCUAUAUGUUCACAUAGCUGUUAUCUGUGCUCAUCCAGUAUUAUUUGCCAGGCCAACAAUGUAUCAGAUUGUGAAGCUACUGGAAACCAAUCUGCAGCUGGUUCCCUCAACUCUUGCAGCUUAUGUUGGUGGUUCUAACAGUGGGCUUAGCUCUAUCUGCCCAGGUUAUAUGUCCUGUUCUUCCAUCACAAGUGAUGAUCAAAAUUUGGACAAUAAGGAUACACAGGGAAGCUUCACACUGACAGUUCUCAAGUGAAUUGUUUGACAGUAAAUGAAUCUCUUUUUUUUUCACCUUUUGUAUUCUUAGUCCAUUACAUUUAUUGUUUCCCCCCUGUAAAAUUCUAAAGAAAAGAAAUGAGUUCUUUCUCCUUCCUUUUAAUUCUAAUAAAACCAAACUAAG